RNAcentral lists this transfer RNA (74 nucleotides) under Mesocestoides corti. It matches the Rfam family "tRNA". Rfam says of the family: Transfer RNA (tRNA) molecules are approximately 80 nucleotides in length. Their secondary structure includes four short double-helical elements and three loops (D, anti-codon, and T loops). Lineage: Eukaryota; Metazoa; Platyhelminthes; Cestoda; Cyclophyllidea; Mesocestoididae. The record is from Rfam by way of RNAcentral.
GCCUGGAUAGCGCAGUUGGUUAGCGCGUCAGUCUCAUAAUCUGAAGGUCGCGAGUUCGAGCCUCGCUCCGGGCA